CAGUCGCCACGGUAAUACGUAGGGUGCGAGCGUUAAUCGGAAUUACUGGGCGUAAAGCGUGCGCAGGCGGUUGUGUAAGACAGGUGUGAAAUCCCCGGGCUUAACCUGGGAACUGCGCUUGUGACUGCACAGCUAGAGUAUGGCAGAGGGGGGUGGAAUUCCACGUGUAGCAGUGAAAUGCGUAGAGAUGUGGAGGAACACCGAUGGCGAAGGCAGCCCCCUGGGCCAAUACUGACGCUCAUGCACGAAAGCGUGGGGAGCAAACAGGAUUAGAUACCCGGGUAGUCCCUGUCUCUUAUAA
This 301-nucleotide ribosomal RNA is filed under the name uncultured bacterium. Its description in RNAcentral is "partial 16S ribosomal RNA". It matches the Rfam family "Bacterial small subunit ribosomal RNA", at positions 509 to 809 of the family's 1533-position model. The record is from RNAcentral.